GGACGAACGCUGGCGGCGUGCUUAACACAUGCAAGUCGAGCGGUAAGGCCCUUUCGGGGGUACACGAGCGGCGAACGGGUGAGUAACACGUGGGUGACCUGCCCUCAGCUCUGGGAUAAGCCUGGGAAACCGGGUCUAAUACUGGAUAUGACUCCAUGACGCAUGUUGUGGGGUGGAAAGCCUUGUGCGGCUGAGGAUGGGCCCGCGGCCUAUCAGCUUGUUGGUGGGGUGANGGGCCUACCAAGGCGACGACGGGUAGCCGGCCUGAGAGGGCGACCGGCCACACUGGGACUGAGACACGGCCCAGACUCCUGCGGGA
This 319-nucleotide ribosomal RNA is filed under the name uncultured bacterium. Its description in RNAcentral is "bacterial SSU rRNA". It matches the Rfam family "Bacterial small subunit ribosomal RNA", at positions 27 to 346 of the family's 1533-position model. The record is from RNAcentral.